RNAcentral lists this long non-coding RNA (476 nucleotides) under Junco hyemalis (dark-eyed junco). RNAcentral's name for it is "lncRNA (ENSJHYG00000005067.1)". The record is from RNAcentral. Lineage: Eukaryota; Metazoa; Chordata; Aves; Passeriformes; Passerellidae.
AAAGGUGUUUGCAGUUCCUUUCGGGGUCUGGCUUGAUCUGUGGUUUGUAAUUGUUGCAGUUAAUGACGGGAUUCUUUAUGCUGUGGCUCGUGGAGUUAACCUCUACAUUAGGCAGCUUGAAGUGAAACCUGUGGGCACAGAGAGCAGGAUGAACAAAGGGGAUGUACCAGAAGGAAGGAAGUCCUUUCCUUACUACUGCAAAUACGACUUUUUUCCUAUCAAGCAUCAAAUUAACUUAAAGGCUAAAAUCAGCUCAAAUGAAGACAAACCAUACAAGUCCUGAGACCCUGAGCUGUCAGUUUGACUUAAUGUCAGGAGAUUGCCAAAGUUUCAGCAUCAGCAUCUGUGCUCACCAGCUUCAACAAGAUUUAGAAGAAAGAAAAGAAAGAAAAAAGCAGUUUAUAUUUUGUUGCCUCUAUUUCCGAAGACAGGGUGGAAAGGAAAGCACCACCACAGCACAGCAUUUCUUUGACUGA